This is a small nucleolar RNA of Tupaia belangeri (northern tree shrew), 134 nucleotides long. NCBI's taxonomy places the organism in Eukaryota, Metazoa, Chordata, Mammalia, Scandentia, Tupaiidae. The record is from Ensembl.
UUUCCCAUUUGACUACCACAUUUUCUCCCGAUAAUGGAUUUUAGUGGCUGUGCUUAUGGGAUAGGUUACAAUUGCCAUGAUCUAAAAAAGGAGGGUUUUCUGGUGUCCUGUUUCUAUUGGGUUAUUGGAAAAAG